Molecule: long non-coding RNA, 748 nt
Filed under: Marmota monax (woodchuck)
Lineage: Eukaryota; Metazoa; Chordata; Mammalia; Rodentia; Sciuridae
Source: RNAcentral
ACUUGCUGGAGAAGUUGGAGAGUCUUCCUCAUUAUCUAGGCAGAGCAUAUGUUGAGGUUGUUUUGCUCGGUGUUAUCAGAGUGGGAGACCUGCUCUCAAAAAUGGUUAAAAGGAUUGCUGCCCCAAAUGACGCACAGUAGAUUUCUGUGUUGGAGUUUCUGUGAGCAAUCUCCAUGGUUAGCCAGUGCUGCACCUCAACUUGGGAGAGAAAGGAGCCUCUAGCUGAGACUGGCAUGUGCUCCAUUCUCUGUAGUGAAUGGACUGUGAGGUCACUGAGACUGAGCUGAGGUGAAAGGAUGCAGACAGCCUAUGACACUGUAGAGAAAUUCUAAAAGAUCUGGAAAGGUGAAUGUAUGUGCUUUGGCUUAAAUUUGGCAACCAGGAGAGUGAUGCAGAGCAGAGUCAUUCAAGUUGGCAUGCCUGCCUUCUGCGGGUGGGUUCAAGUUUGGGGAGAGUGGGCUGUUUUAAAAUUUGGUGCUGGCUGUGCAGAUAGAUUUGAGAAGAUUUACGGGUGUGUUAAGUUCAGAACAAGUUGUGGUUUUAGAGGCUGUCACCCUGUGCCCUCUUUUAAAUGUUCACUUGAAUCUCUGCUCAGCCCUAGCAGUGACUGACUGAAUUGGACCAAAGUUCAUGCCGACAUUCAUGCUGUGGCUUACAGUGAGUGACUAGAUUGUUCUUUAGUUGCUAUUGUUCUAGCCAUGUCAGUUAAACAGAUCAAGUGGGUUGACUUACUGAUUUCCAAAAUGGC